UACGUAGGGGGCAAGCGUUGUCCGGAUUUAUUGGGCGUAAAGAGCGUGUAGGCGGCCAGAUAGGUCUGCUGUGAAAACUCGAGGCUCAACCUCGAGACGUCGGCGGAAACCAUCUGGCUAGAGUCCGGAAGAGGAGAGUGGAAUUCCUGGUGUAGCGGUGAAAUGCGCAGAUAUCAGGAAGAACACCCGUGGCGAAGGCGGCUCUCUGGGACGGUACUGACGCUGAGACGCGAAAGCGUGGGGAGCGAACAGG
This 253-nucleotide ribosomal RNA is filed under the name uncultured bacterium. RNAcentral's name for it is "partial 16S ribosomal RNA". It matches the Rfam family "Bacterial small subunit ribosomal RNA", at positions 524 to 776 of the family's 1533-position model. The record is from RNAcentral.